RNAcentral lists this ribosomal RNA (147 nucleotides) under Acinetobacter baumannii. RNAcentral's name for it is "partial 23S ribosomal RNA". It matches the Rfam family "Bacterial large subunit ribosomal RNA", at positions 2796 to 2925 of the family's 2925-position model. RNAcentral also lists the same sequence under 2 other names. The record is from RNAcentral. Lineage: Bacteria; Pseudomonadati; Pseudomonadota; Gammaproteobacteria; Moraxellales; Moraxellaceae.
GCCCCGAGAUGAGUUCUCCCUGAGACUUUAAGUCUCCUGAAGGAACGUUGAAGACGACGACGUUGAUAGGCCGGGUGUGUAAGCGCAGCGAUGCGUUGAGCUAACCGGUACUAAUGAACCGUGAGGCUUAACCUUACAACGCCGAAG